Molecule: ribosomal RNA, 443 nt
Filed under: uncultured soil bacterium
Lineage: Bacteria
Description: bacterial SSU rRNA
Rfam family: Bacterial small subunit ribosomal RNA
Source: RNAcentral
AGAACGAACGCUGGCGGCAUGCCUAACACAUGCAAGUCGAACGAGACCUUCGGGUCUAGUGGCGCACGGGUGCGUAACGCGUGGGAAUCUGCCCAAAGGUUCGGAAUAACUCGGGGAAACCCGAGCUAAUACCGGAUGAUGUCUUCGGACCAAAGAUUUAUCGCCUUUGGAUGAGCCCGCGUCGGAUUAGCUUGUUGGUGGGGUAAAGCCUACCAAGGCGACGAUCCGUAGCUGGUCUGAGAGGAUGAUCAGCCACACUGGGACUGAGACACGGCCCAGACUCCUACGGGAGGCAGCAGUGGGGAAUAUUGGACAAUGGGCGAAAGCCUGAUCCAGCAAUGCGCGUGAGUGAUGAAGGCCCUAGGGUUGUAAAGCUCUUUUACCCGGGAUGAUAAUGACAGUACCGGAGAAUAAGCCCCGGCUAACUCCGUGCCAGCAGCCGC